UCUAUAGUGAUACACUUCCAUCCUCAAACUUGCAAUAUUAGUUUACUUUACAUAUAUAGAUUUUGUAUUGUUAGAAAUGGCCUUUCCCAGUGCCUCCAAAUUCAUGUCAUUUGCUGCUCUUAUAGCAGUACUUGUACUACUCAUGUCCUCUACGCUGGGAAGUGCUGCUCAACCUAGUAUUAAACUCGGGCGAAAACUUUUCCAAGCUGGUGACUUGCCAAGUACUUAUGGUCCAUAUGGUGGUAGUGGAGGAUAUACCCCUAUACCAUGAAAUCAUUAUCCACGUAGGCCAGGGCAAUAAAUAACCAAUAAGCCACUGAGUGCAUGGCUGAAAUAUUGGACAUGCAUGUUAGCGUCGUUCUUUAAUUCUGUGAUUUCAGUACUAGAAUAAUAGCUAGUAUAUAUGUCAUGUACUUAAUUUCACCGAACUAUGUGUAUCAGUGCUCUGGGUCACAAAUCACAAUUAUUUAUAAAUAAAAUUCUCAUUCUCCUUUGUCA
This is a long non-coding RNA of Cajanus cajan (pigeon pea), 498 nucleotides long. RefSeq lists it as uncharacterized. The record is from RefSeq and is a predicted model, not a curated record. NCBI's taxonomy places the organism in Eukaryota, Viridiplantae, Streptophyta, Magnoliopsida, Fabales, Fabaceae.